GGACUAAUAUGUUGGUCGUGCCUCGGUACGUACUGGCUUGUUGGUUUCUACCUUCUGACGAACCAUGAUGUCAUUAAUUUGGUGUCUUGGGGAAUCAGGACUGUUACUUUGAAAAAAUUAGAGUGUUUAAAGCAGGCUCACGCUUGAAUACAUUAGCAUGGAAUAAUGGAAUAGGACUGUGGUCCCGUUUUGUUGGUUUUCAGGACCGCGGUA
RNAcentral lists this ribosomal RNA (213 nucleotides) under uncultured fungus. RNAcentral's name for it is "partial small subunit ribosomal RNA". The stretch from base 38 to 213 matches the Rfam family "Eukaryotic small subunit ribosomal RNA", at positions 686 to 864 of the family's 1831-position model. Lineage: Eukaryota; Fungi. The record is from RNAcentral.